This 99-nucleotide microRNA precursor is filed under the name Cucumis melo (muskmelon). RNAcentral's name for it is "miR160a stem-loop (cme-MIR160a)". Its record names the gene cme-MIR160a. The stretch from base 7 to 92 matches the Rfam family "mir-160 microRNA precursor family". From Rfam's summary of the family: The hairpin precursors (represented here) are predicted based on base pairing and cross-species conservation -- their extents are not known. In this case the mature sequence is excised from the 5' arm of the hairpin. The record is from miRBase by way of RNAcentral. Lineage: Eukaryota; Viridiplantae; Streptophyta; Magnoliopsida; Cucurbitales; Cucurbitaceae.
GUGUGUAUGUGCCUGGCUCCCUGUAUGCCAUUUGUAGAGCUCAUCAGAAUCCGAUGGGCCUCCGCAGAUGGCGUAUGAGGAGCCAUGCAUAUAUCUUAA